Molecule: long non-coding RNA, 106 nt
Organism: Nanorana parkeri
Lineage: Eukaryota; Metazoa; Chordata; Amphibia; Anura; Dicroglossidae
Exons: 3
Source: RefSeq, a predicted model, not a curated record
AUGAUAUGAUCUGCGCAAGCUGCAUGGGAUCUCUUGUAUCAAAAGCCAUGGCUGUUUUGUAACCGCGAUCUUGUGAACAUCAAAAAUUGUCAGGAAAACACAGCAC